UGCUGUGGUUUCAGACCUAG
This 20-nucleotide non-coding RNA is filed under the name Arabidopsis thaliana (thale cress). The record is from RNAcentral. Lineage: Eukaryota; Viridiplantae; Streptophyta; Magnoliopsida; Brassicales; Brassicaceae.